This 72-nucleotide transfer RNA is filed under the name Camelus bactrianus (Bactrian camel). It matches the Rfam family "tRNA". From Rfam's summary of the family: Transfer RNA (tRNA) molecules are approximately 80 nucleotides in length. The record is from Rfam by way of RNAcentral. Lineage: Eukaryota; Metazoa; Chordata; Mammalia; Artiodactyla; Camelidae. RNAcentral also lists the same sequence under 2 other names.
GAGGGUAUAGCUCAGUAGUAGAGUGAAUGCUUAGCAGGCACGAGGUCCUGGGUUCAAUCCCCAGUACCUCCA